UACGAAGGGGGCGAGCGUUGUUCGGAGUUACUGGGCGUAAAGAGCGUGUAGGCGGCCCGGUAAGUCCGCUGUGAAAGUCGGGGGCUCAACCCUCGAAUGCCGGUGGAUAUUGUCGGGCUAGAGUGCGGAAGAGGCGAGUGGAAUUCCUGGUGUAGCGGUGAAAUGCGCAGAUAUCAGGAGGAACACCAAUUGCGAAGGCAGCUCGCUGGGACGUAACUGACGCUGAGACGCGAAAGCGUGGGGAGCAAACAGG
This 253-nucleotide ribosomal RNA is filed under the name uncultured bacterium. RNAcentral describes it as "partial 16S ribosomal RNA". It matches the Rfam family "Bacterial small subunit ribosomal RNA", at positions 524 to 776 of the family's 1533-position model. The record is from RNAcentral.